Clupea harengus (Atlantic herring) is the source of this 2421-nucleotide long non-coding RNA. The record is from Ensembl. Lineage: Eukaryota; Metazoa; Chordata; Actinopteri; Clupeiformes; Clupeidae.
GCAAAUUGUAGCAAUGAAUAAGCAAGAGACGUCAGCUGCUGCUAAUAGAACUGGAGGAGACACCAGUGACUGUCACCCCGGUGAUGCACAUAAAGUCAGCAAUGUUCCUGCAACUGCAGAGGUGAGCAAGGGAAUCGCCUCCCUGCCAUCUCCCGACAAAACCCGGCCAGAGAAGCAGCAAUUGGGUUACAGUCUCUUAGAAGAGACUCCACCCUGGGAAAGACAAUCAUUUGUGGACAAUACUUUUAACGUCUCCUUUCAAGAGGAUGUGGGGACUCCUGUCGCCACAGGUCGCCUGACCCCUGGUCUCAGGCGCCUUUGUUUGGAUGGGAGCCCAAUGAUGGCUUGGGCGAGGCCUGACAGGCACAGUCCUUUCCAGCAAGCCACUUCUCCAUCUCUGGUGAACGAGAGCCCGCCGGCGAGUUUUAUCGACUGUUCCAUCGCACCCAUCACACCCACUGGGCCGGCAAAUACGGUGGAUCUGCCAAGUGGCGCCGGCACUGUCAUUACUGUGCUCUUACCGGAUGUUGUGCCAUUGACUCCCCAAAAUGACACCAUGGAUGUGGGGUGUGGAAGCGGAAGUCCUGCUCUCAGCGUUGUUUUGCCCUGUCCCCAAAACACAGUGGACUCGCCUUGUAGGGACAGUGCAACUGCAGCUGUAGCCAAUAUUGACCGUCUAGCCGCAGACAUAAACGGCACCAUGGAUCUGCCAAAUGGCACCAGUAGUGCUGGGGCAGUUAGUGACAUCACAAUGAAUGGGGCCGUGGACCUGGCAGACUGUGUUGGCAGCACCGGCGCUACGCCUACUGGACAGGAAAACAUCACCGUGGAGAUAAGGAGUGAUUGCAGCAAGACCAUGUCUGAAGUUGCUUCCAGUAUCUCCACACCUGCUCCAGAGAUCAACAUCACCAUGGAGAUAAGGAGUGAUUGCAGCAUGACCAUGUCUGAAGUUGCUUCCAGUAUCUCCACACCUGCUCCAGAGAUCAACACCACUGUGGAUAAAGAGAAUGAUGGCAAGUCAACCACAACUGAGGUCAAAUCCAUCGUGCCUGUCCAUCACAAUACCACAGUGGAUUUUCCAAACGGAAAUGGAAGCGGCACCAGUGACGUGUCUAUGACUGCUCGUCACAAUGGAACAGUGGAUUUGGCAACCCCCGUUUCCACAAAACCUGCCAGAGAGAUGAAUAGCACUGUAGAGCUGGUGCGAAGAGGUAACAAUCCGCUUACCAUGGCAUCUGCUAAAGCAAUGAACAUCACUGUUGAGGUGCUGAGCACCACCACCAGUGCCUCACCCAGCGUGCCUACGGUGGCUCCGACCACCACCACUGCAAACGAUGUCACGCUGGCGGAGAGCCUGAGCGCGUCCCCGGAGAUGAUGGUGAAGCGCCCGCCGCUAGAGGUAAACGUGUUCAUGCUGGACGAGUCAUUGGACCUGCAUUCGGCCGGCCUGGUGACCUCCACGCCCAUGCCUGAGCACCGCGAGUUCUCCUUCUCCCGGCCCGCCAAAGUCAUCGGGAAGGCCUGCGAGGCCCGCAAGCAGCUGGUGCUCCCCUCCAACACCACCCCCCCCCCACCAAAACCGAUGGUGACCCACCGGGUGGAGACCCCCCUGCUGCAGCUCCAGCCCUCCCCUGUGAGGAAGGGAGAGAAGAAGCAACGGCCGGCCUGAAGCAGAGACGUCCCCAAGCCAAGGGCAUCUUGUUUCCCAGAGUAGUAGGGAUGUCGGCAGUGUCGGGGCACGGUAUCAAGCUCCCAGGACUUCCUGUCACUCGCCGUGCCAUCCCUAAGCCCACGUGCACUCUGGCCAACAGCAUGUUAGAGGGUAAUGCAGCACCAUCUGGGAUUCCUGGGGCGUAUAAAAGAUUUUCACUUGGAAUGAAGGCGGCCCUGCGCAGUGCUGCCUCUGCCACUCCCACACAGCAGCCAGCCCCAGCUGCUGAGAAACGCCUCAGCCUGGCCCCAGCCUGCUCAGCACGCCUCAGGAAAAAAACAAACGAGGGAGCCAUUCCCUCCCUGAGCAAAGACACUGCAGCCAGCUCAGUGCGACCCUCUCAAGCCUCUGCUAGCCUGAAAAGACCCGUCCCUGAGCCCAAAGGAGGCCCAGCCAAGAGGUCGAAAGGAGAACCAGUAUCUAAUAUCAGAUCUGGUCUUCUGAGGAAGCGAGGUGCUUCAUCUGUGACUGCUCCCUCAUUGGACAGCGAGGACACUUACCUGUGCGAGUGUGGUCGCAAGACAGCUUGCAAGAAAUGUCAACAUCUCCUACAAGAAAAUCAGAAACUACGCCGGGAGCUCAGCACGCUAAAAAGUCACAAAUAAAGAGACUGAGAAUCUCCACAUUUGACCUCCCCGUCUCACUUGUCCAAAUUUAUGACGACUAUGAUGACUAUGAUUGUACAUGAAUAAAGAAAUGUAAUGUUUUUU